RNAcentral lists this ribosomal RNA (652 nucleotides) under Flavobacterium sp. S140.08.SCU.W.Gill.N. RNAcentral's name for it is "bacterial SSU rRNA". It matches the Rfam family "Bacterial small subunit ribosomal RNA", at positions 60 to 714 of the family's 1533-position model. The record is from RNAcentral. Lineage: Bacteria; Pseudomonadati; Bacteroidota; Flavobacteriia; Flavobacteriales; Flavobacteriaceae.
AGUCGAGGGGUAAAUUCUUCGGAAUUAGAGACCGGCGCACGGGUGCGUAACGCGUAUGCAAUCUACCUUUUACAGAGGGAUAGCCCAGAGAAAUUUGGAUUAAUACCUCAUAGUAUAGCAGUUUCGCAUGAAACCACUAUUAAAGUCACAACGGUAAAAGAUGAGCAUGCGUCCCAUUAGCUAGUUGGUAAGGUAACGGCUUACCAAGGCUACGAUGGGUAGGGGUCCUGAGAGGGAGAUCCCCCACACUGGUACUGAGACACGGACCAGACUCCUACGGGAGGCAGCAGUGAGGAAUAUUGGACAAUGGGCGCAAGCCUGAUCCAGCCAUGCCGCGUGCAGGAUGACGGUCCUAUGGAUUGUAAACUGCUUUUGUACAGGAAGAAACAGUUCUACGUGUAGAACCUUGACGGUACUGUAAGAAUAAGGAUCGGCUAACUCCGUGCCAGCAGCCGCGGUAAUACGGAGGAUCCAAGCGUUAUCCGGAAUCAUUGGGUUUAAAGGGUCCGUAGGCGGUUUAAUAAGUCAGUGGUGAAAGCCCAUCGCUCAACGGUGGAACGGCCAUUGAUACUGUUAAACUUGAAUUAUUAGGAAGUAACUAGAAUAUGUAGUGUAGCGGUGAAAUGCUUAGAGAUUACAUGGAAUACCAAUU